RNAcentral lists this transfer RNA (83 nucleotides) under Erythrobacter crassostreae. Its description in RNAcentral is "Erythrobacter crassostrea tRNA-Leu". It matches the Rfam family "tRNA". From Rfam's summary of the family: Transfer RNA (tRNA) molecules are approximately 80 nucleotides in length. Their secondary structure includes four short double-helical elements and three loops (D, anti-codon, and T loops). Further hydrogen bonds mediate the characteristic L-shaped molecular structure. tRNAs have two regions of fundamental functional importance: the anti-codon, which is responsible for specific mRNA codon recognition, and the 3' end, to which the tRNAs corresponding amino acid is attached (by aminoacyl-tRNA synthetases). tRNAs cope with the degeneracy of the genetic code in two manners: having more than one tRNA (with a specific anti-codon) for a particular amino acid; and 'wobble' base-pairing, i.e. permitting non-standard base-pairing at the 3rd anti-codon position. The record is from RNAcentral. Lineage: Bacteria; Pseudomonadati; Pseudomonadota; Alphaproteobacteria; Sphingomonadales; Erythrobacteraceae.
GUGUUUUAGCUUGUCCCGGAUUGUGCAUAAACUCUGCCCUCAGAAGGCAGAGGUCACUGGUUCGAAUCCAGUCGGGUGCACCA